RNAcentral lists this ribosomal RNA (331 nucleotides) under uncultured eukaryote. RNAcentral's name for it is "partial 18S ribosomal RNA". It matches the Rfam family "Eukaryotic small subunit ribosomal RNA", at positions 1470 to 1796 of the family's 1831-position model. The record is from RNAcentral.
CCCUUAGAUGUUCUGGGCCGCACGCGCGCUACACUGACUGACUCAACGAGUGUACAACCUGCUUCGACAGAAGUGGGUAAUCUUUUGAAAUUCAGUCGUGAUGGGGCUAGAUUAUUGCAACUAUUAAUCUUCAACGAGGAAUGCCUAGUAAGCGCGAAUCAUCAGUUCGCGUUGAUUACGUCCCUGCCCUUUGUACACACCGCCCGUCGCUCCUACCGAUUGAAUGAUUUAGUGAGGACUUCGGACUGGGACCGAUGCGGCUUUCGGGCUGCGUCGGUAUUCUGGAAAGAUGUCCAAACUGUAUCAUUUAGAGGAAGUAAAAGUCGUAACA